AAGUCGUAACAAGGUUUCCGUAGGUGAACCUGCGGAAGGAUCAUUAACUAAUAAGCAAUAAUCCUUUGUGAAAUUAAAGCAAAAGGCAAAGAGGGGAGGUGAGCCUUUUGGGUGAGCCUCUUAUCGGAUCCUUUGCUUUACUUAUAUACAUUAGUGGGAUUAAAUUAAAAAAUGAAAACAAUUUUUAACAAUGGAUCUCUAGGCUCUU
Molecule: unclassified non-coding RNA, 208 nt
Filed under: fungal sp.
Lineage: Eukaryota; Fungi
Description: partial internal transcribed spacer region
Rfam family: Eukaryotic small subunit ribosomal RNA (bases 1-46)
Source: RNAcentral